Molecule: ribosomal RNA, 804 nt
Filed under: uncultured bacterium
Lineage: Bacteria
Description: bacterial SSU rRNA
Rfam family: Bacterial small subunit ribosomal RNA
Source: RNAcentral
CCGGAUUUAUUGGGUUUAAAGGGUGCGUAGGCGGUUUUAUAAGUCAGCGGUGAAAUUUUCCGGCUCAACCGGGAUACUGCCGUUGAUACUGUAAGGCUAGGAUAUGGUUGCUGUGGGUGGAAUGUGUGGUGUAGCGGUGAAAUGCUUAGAGAUCACACAGAAUAUCGAUUGCGAAGGCAGCUCACAAAGCCAUUAUUGACGCUGAGGCACGAAAGUGUGGGGAUCAAACAGGAUUAGAUACCCUGGUAGUCCACACUGUAAACGAUGAUAACUCGCUGUCGGCGAUAUAAAGUCGGUGGCCAAGCGAAAGCGAUAAGUUAUCCACCUGGGGAGUACGACCGCAAGGUUGAAACUCAAAGGAAUUGACGGGGGCCCGCACAAGCGGAGGAACAUGUGGUUUAAUUCGAUGAUACGCGAGGAACCUUACCCGGGCUCGAACGGUGCAGGAAUACUACAGAGAUGUGGUAGCUAGCAAUAGUCUGUAUCGAGGUGCUGCAUGGUUGUCGUCAGCUCGUGCCGUGAGGUGUCGGCUUAAGUGCCAUAACGAGCGCAACCCUUGUCGUUAGUUGCCAUCAGGUCAAGCUGGGAACUCUAACGAGACUGCCACCGUAAGGUGUGAGGAAGGGGGGGAUGACGUCAAAUCAGCACGGCCCUUACGUCCGGGGCGACACACGUGUUACAAUGGCAGGUACAGAGGGGAGCUACCCAGCGAUGGGGUGCGAAUCUCAAAAGCCUGUCUCAGUUCGGAUUGGAGUCUGCAACUCGACUCCAUGAAGUUGGAUUCGCUAGUAAUCGCGCAUCAGC